RNAcentral lists this ribosomal RNA (275 nucleotides) under uncultured Pseudomonas sp. RNAcentral describes it as "partial 16S ribosomal RNA". It matches the Rfam family "Bacterial small subunit ribosomal RNA", at positions 1107 to 1382 of the family's 1533-position model. Lineage: Bacteria; Pseudomonadati; Pseudomonadota; Gammaproteobacteria; Pseudomonadales; Pseudomonadaceae. The record is from RNAcentral.
GUCCUAGUUACCAGCACGUAUGGUGGGCGACUCUAAGGAGACUGCCGGUGACAAACCGGAGGAAGGUGGGGAUGACGUCAAGUCAUCAUGGCCCUUACGGCCUGGGCUACACACGUGCUACAAUGGUCGGUACAAAGGGUUGCCAAGCCGCGAGGUGGAGCUAAUCCCAUAAAACCGAUCGUAGUCCGGAUCGCAGUCUGCAACUCGACUGCGUGAAGUCGGAAUCGCUAGUAAUCGUGAAUCAGAAUGUCACGGUGAAUACGUUCCCGGGCCUU